This 253-nucleotide ribosomal RNA is filed under the name uncultured bacterium. RNAcentral describes it as "partial 16S ribosomal RNA". It matches the Rfam family "Bacterial small subunit ribosomal RNA", at positions 524 to 776 of the family's 1533-position model. The record is from RNAcentral.
UACGGAGGGUGCAAGCGUUAUCCGGAUUCACUGGGCUUAAAGGGUGCGUAGGCGGGUCGGUAAGUCCGUGGUGAAAUCCCCGAGCUUAACUCGGGAACUGCCGUGGAUACUAUCGAUCUUGAAUACUGUGGAGGUAAGCGGAAUAUGUCAUGUAGCGGUGAAAUGCUUAGAUAUGACAUAGAACACCGAUAGCGAAGGCAGCUUGCUACACAGUUAUUGACACUGAGGCACGAAAGCGUGGGGAGCAAACAGG